UUCCCUUUAUAGCUUUUCUUUUCUUUUACUUAUCAUAUUAGUUAGGACAGCCACACAGUUCUGAAUUGGUGUAGUGGCAGAGGACAAAAUGGCCUUUUUCUCCAUCUGAAGAGGAAAUCUAUUUGGUGGCUCAUCUUUAACUGUAAUGAGGCGCAAUACGGAGGCAGAGUGAAGACACAGGGCUCACCGCCGCCAUAAACUCACAACACUGUGCAGGACAACAUCGAUGCCCCUGAAAGAGAAAUGGGUGACCAGGGCACACACCAGGAGCAGGGACCAAUGGCAAGAAACUGGGAAAACGUUAACUGACCUGCAUCUACAGUUAUACUGGAGCAGAAUUAAACCCCCUACAGAUGUGGACUCGGGGACACUAGCCACAUUGGGGACUUUGGAGAUUCAGCACUUCCCUCAGCGCUGGGCUCAACCCACUGGGCCCUCCGGGAGGCCCUAUUUUUGAAGAUACCGUACCAAUUCUCUACAGCUACUGUCUCCUCCAGGCAGAGAAAGAACAUCCAGAUGCCUCCAUGCCCCAGGGCCCCGCAGGCAGAGCAGGUCACCUGGAGGUGUCCCUGCAGUGGGAACCAGUGUGCCCACGGCGGCCGCCUCCUCGUGCCCUUUGGAACCUGCGUGGGAAGAGCAGAGCCAGUGAAGCCCAAGCACGGAGGAGGCUCUUUCCAUAGUGACACCCCCCGGGAAGUGCUGCAUGGACAGAGAUGCGACAAAACGCAGAUGGAAACCAGGAGGCCCUAUCGAGGCGCCACU
Long non-coding RNA from Talpa occidentalis (Iberian mole), 762 nucleotides. RefSeq lists it as uncharacterized. The record is from RefSeq and is a predicted model, not a curated record. NCBI's taxonomy places the organism in Eukaryota, Metazoa, Chordata, Mammalia, Eulipotyphla, Talpidae. The transcript has 3 exons.